AGGAACACAAGUUAUUUAACACUAUCACAAUUGAAUAUAGCCUCACACAGGGUACAAACCAAAGACAACAUAACAGGAUAUGCAGCGAGCAUGCAGCACGAGAACUGGUCCAAAACAGGGCCUUUUUAAAGAGCCCAGCCAGCUGCAACCACUGACGAGGGGGGUGGAGCUCCGGGUCCCAAUCCUACCUGGAAAACACACACACACACACGCAACAAGUAAUCCCCCAAUCGGAAUCAUUAUACGAACCCAUAUUUCUGGGGACGUAACAACGUUCAACGUGUCUUUACAUUGUAAUCCGAGCGGCCUGAUGCUCACACCAGCACUGUCUGCCAGAAAAAUGUAAUCACGCCACAAUUUUACUGUUUCUCAUACUCACUAAAACAUUGCUGCUUUUUGCAGAUGAUGUGGUCCUGAUGGCAUCUUCAGCCUGUGACCUCCACCUCACUGGAGCGGAUCCCAGCCGACCGUGAAGCGGUCGGGAGGAGGAUUAGCACCUCUGGAUCGCCCACUCCGGAAUGGAAAAAGCGGGGCAGUGUUGCAAUCGCUUUACAACAUCGUCGUGACAAAAAGAAAGCUCAACUGGAAGGUAAGCUCUCGAUCUACCGGUCAUUCUUCGUUCCUACCCUCAUCUCUGGUCAUGAAGGAUUGUAUUGCAUUAUGGGUUAUGAUUGACAAAUCAAGGCAUAAAAAUAUUGCGAGCACUAGAGAUGUUUUUAUAGUAGGCUAUUGCAGACCGAGAGCAGAUUAGUAGACGGAUAUUUUAAAACCUUUGUGUGUUGGUAUCUACAAAUAACCAAAGAAAUAAAAUGUCUAAGCAAUGCAGUACAAGUAUUUCUAAGACCCAGCAUGUCCCCACAUGCUUGACCCUCGGCAGAGCAGCAUUACUGGUUACUGGCUGCUUAAUUUUCCUCCGAGGGAUUAUUUGCACUUUCUUUGAGACCCAAACAAAUGCUGGAAUGCCCCAAGAUAGUGUGUCUCUUAGAGGGUAAAUAAAUACAUUGGGUAAAAUCUUGACAGGUUAUUACAUCAUGUGGGUUAAGAAGGAGGAAUCUUCCCUAAUCCAUUAUUCAAAGUUUGUUUUGGACUUCAAAUUAACUGCUUUGAAAAGAAAGUAAUUGCUUACAAGAGGCAAAGCAGGGUGUUUUCCGACCAAAGCAACUUAAGAAUACAUCUUGGAUUUUACAUGUAGUCAUUUUGUGCAAUACUUCUGCUUGUAGUUUUCCUGCAGUGCUGUUAUUUUUGCAAUUUGUCUUUUCAUGUAACCAAUGAAUCACAUUUUCAGAAGGUGUCGUCUAAAGCAAAAUAUCAUGGUAUUUUUGAAAACAAGAGAAAUAAUGAAAAAACUGAUAUCAGCAUGAAAAAUGUAUCCGUAAAAAGUACAGAUUAUGGAAACCAGCAGAGGCAGAAUGCCACGUGGCAGGACUCAAAUGCACACCCUGCACAAAUACACAAAUGGCUUAAAUACACUGGGAAGGUGCAGGUGAUUGGACACAGGUGGAAACAAUCAUGGACACGACAGACAAUCACAGGGUACACCAGGACAAGGCAGGAAGUGAAGCUGACUCAGGGACACAAGCGGCAUGAAACUACAAAAUAAAACAGGAAAUAAACCCAAACUGUGGCAUAGAAGUUUUCACUGCCAAAACGACCUUCACUUAUAAUAUGAUAACUAGUUAACUGGUGAGACAAUUUGCUAAAAUCACCCAUCCUGUGUUUGUAGAAAACUCUCAACGUUUGACAAAGCACAAAGUAAUGUUUGUCUUCAACUAUCAGUGACUAUACCAAUGCCGAAUGCUGAAGUGAUUAUUUUCAUUGCUGUGAAAUGAAUGAAAUCAGAAUAAAUUGUGACGCGUCACGGUUUGGUGUUAUUUAUUUUGUAUUAUCCUUACUCUUGUGCUCCUGGGUUAACUUCACUUCCUCCCCUGGUGUUUCCCCCACAGCCCCUUGUGAUUGCCUGUCUUGGCCCUAAUUAUUCCUUGUGUCUCUAAUCACCUGCACCGUCGCAGUGUAUUUUGUCUUAUUGUCGCUUUCUCUGCUAUCUCGCAUGUUUUCUGUUCCUUUGUGUAAUUGUUCUCUAGUAUUUCUUGACUUUUUCCCUGUGACCCUCACAAAGGUGCACACACGUUUUUACGGGCCUUGUGCUUGCUACUUGCUUCCAGGCAACUUAUUCUUUUGAUUAAAAGUUUUUGUGCUUGAAAGGAUGGUUCUGCGUGUGAUUCCUACUUCCGCCACCCAAACCUCACAUGAUGAAACCUAAAGUAACUGCCUGCUCCCCUGAGUCCAAAUCUGUGAAAGGCAAAAUACUGUGAGGUUAUUGAAUUUUUAUUUCUUAGGUGCAGCCAUACAGUAUAAUGCCCAUAACUUGAUUGCAAUUGUAUUUGUUAACAUUCUACAUUGCAGCUGGUCAACCUCCCGUCGGUAGGCCGAUGAUCAUUGUGCCGUCUGUAAAUUUCAGGAGUUUUACAGCUGGGGGGCUGGAUUAUCGAGCUCGGCGAGUUUGAUACUGAGAUACAGCAGCUAAACCUGUUUAUUCAUGUUUUGGUUUGUUUUUGUGUCAGACCCACGGAGUACCACGGAGUGCACGUAACCUGCUUUUGAGUUGGACUGUGAGUAUGGUGUAGGGCCUCGGGUUUCCACACCAGACCCUGCUUGAGCCACGCCAGACGUCGGUGGAGUUUCCCUCCCGACUCCAGUUGAGCCAGAGGAGCGCUUUCUGUUUCCCGUAUUCCCCUUGUUUGUUUUUUGUGAAAAAUAAAGUCAUUUUGGCUGAAAAUCCAAGGCUGCUGUGCGUGUGCUUUUGGGUCCACCAAAUACACCCCACCCCCUAACAAUUGUGUUCCCAUCCUUGUGUUUUAAUUGUCUGUGGGUUUUUUUGUAUCUGCCUGUUGGGUAUAUUUAAAUACCAAAUCCUGUGUUUUUAGAUUUUAGGAUACUCUUGUGUCUGAUUACUUAAAUAUCUUUUCAGAUGUUAUACACAAUAUACAGCUUUUGGAUAAUUGUUGAAAAAACGUGUCCUUGACUAUUCUUCUCUCCGUAAAUAAUUGGCACUUGCCUGCUGACUGACAAUCUAUUUUUUAACAAAAGCAAAAUAGGAAAAUAUCUUCCAAAACACUAGUGAAGUGACAUUGCUGAAUUCCUUUCUUUGUUAAUACAUAGUUAUACAAGCUUUGAUAUUAAAAUUUAAUACACCAAUGUUCGGUCAAACGAGACUCCGCUAUAGAUGUCUUUUGCCCAGUGAAUACAACACUCAAGCUGGGAAAAAAAUCAUGUGCUAGAAGUAUAAAAGUUGAGUGGAGAUUUUGUUAUUCAUCAUUAUUUUGCAUAGAAUAUUAGAAAUCACCACCUCCAUUCAGAUUCAGUGGUCUCUGUGGAGACAGAUAAAUGAUAUAUUACACCAAGAGGAAGCCAUUAACUGUAACAGUUUAGGUUUCAUUAUAAAGUAAAACAAUGUGCAGAUCACACCUUUUUUUGUUCCGACACAAUCACUCUCAAUGAAGGGCCUGACAAUCCCACCCUCAUCUAAAGGGCGAUCAAAGCUUCGCUCUGAGUGAGCUGCAUAUUGGUUCCUCAAUGUUGUUUUCAAUUUCGCCAGUAUGCAAAUUCCCCUCCACAUUUCCUUUGGAAAUAAUGAGGAAAAUAAGAACGCUCUAACCCCAGAUGAAAAGGAAAUGGCUUUUGAAAUGGCCGGCACUAUAUUAUGGUACCGCACUCCAAAUCAACCAGAAGACAAACCCUGUUGCAAAAUAUUGUCUAUAAACAUGAAAAAUAUACAGGAACAUACCUUUUACCUUCCACACAUUAUAAAUGUAUAAACAGCUUUAUCUCAGCUCAACAUCGAAUUAGGAUUUAACACGUGCAAACUGUUCAUUAUCCAAAAUGAAAUCUACUUGUUUGUAGUUGUGAACAAACUUGGGUAAUAAUUUUGAAAAAAGAAUUUAAGAAUAUUCAUGUUCAGAUGUACAAAUGAUUUAACUGAAAAUGUUUUAUGAAUACAGACAGCCGGAGAGUGAGCGUCACUCUCUCAUCUGCUGAAUGAAAAUAGGUCACCAGACAUUUAUUUGCUGUAUUGAAUCAGGCAAGACUGUAUUAAUUUAUCACCUCUUAAGUGGCAAAGCGUCUGUGGCAAAACAUCUGUUCAAGGAUAGCAUACCGAGCAUAUUGCAGCAGAUAAUGUCAGAAAGAAAAAAAAUCGGAUUCUGUCUAUUAAAACAGUUCACGUGACUGUAAAGAAAUACACACUGUUGCGUAUUAGACUUCCUUGUAAAAAAUAUAAAGUCUGUGCAUAUAAGUUAAUAAAUGUGUUUGCCGACAUUUAUUUUGCGACUGUUGAUUGCAAUACCACGUUUAGCUAAAAGUACCCUGGCUGAGUUUUAAAUGAUCAGAAAAUGUGUCUCUCCGUUUCUUCAUAAUAUGCUGUUUCUAAAGUUUGACAUCUAAACAAAUUCUCGUAAUGAAUCACUCAAAAUAUUCUCUAGUUUUCUAAAGAAUAAGGAUCACAGUGGCCGCAGAUGUUAUAAUUCUUCACUUGAGUGUCCAAAAAUAUAGAUUUGUAUUGCGAACCUGGAAGAGAGUAAAAACCUCAGGACAUGAGCUUCUGGAUUUAUUUGUAUUCCAUAAGAAUCUAUGAAGAUGCCCACUUAUUAACCUUCAGCAAACACUGAUGCUGAAAUAUACAACGCUCUAUGUGACCUUCAGACUACCAUAUGAUUGUAUCUGUGAACGUGCAUACAUAUACUUCUUUAUAUGUAUGCGCAUAUAUCCAUUACGUUUAGUUAACUUGGCAUGAGCCCAUUCACAGUGAGCCAAAAAUACUGGGAAAGUGUUUUCUGGUUCAUUUUAGAGCUUGACAGCUGUGUUUUAUGUUUAGGGUCAUUAGUAAGUGUGCAGCCAGAAGACUGCAUAUCUACAGUAAUCAAUUAUAGCAAUGCACAAAUACAUUUGAAAGGUUAUUGAAAGUGAAUACUAACUUCUAAGAGGGAAAAAACUAUGAUUGUAGUUUAAUUUGCCUGGAUGGGAUUGGCAGUAAAAAGCAUUAGAUCUGUAACAAUACGAAGUAUUGGCAUAUUCCAUUGAGCAAAAUGUAUAAAGAAGGGAAAGGUAAACAUUUUUAUGGGGGAGAAAAUUAAUAUUUUAUUGUAUGUGGCUCUUUUGCUUCGCCUGACACCGCUUCUGUUGAGUGAGAGCUUAGUUUAAAACCAUCUAAUACAAAUUAAUUUCAUUCUCUCGUAGUCACACCUGUCUUGCAAAGGCCCAUCUGCUGUCUUGAGAGACCUGUUUAAUUGUUUUGCUGAGCCUCUCCACAAAUACAAUGUGCUGGUUGAGGUGCCAAAAAGAAAAUCUGUGAUCACUUUAUUCAACCUUUCAACAAAACCCUGACAAGUUACUAGUAUAUUAGAUCAUACAGAGGAACUCAUGGACGCACAUUUGGAACUGUAGCGUUAACGCAGAUGGCGCUCGCUGUGAUACUGCAGUUCACGUCGUUAUCACGAAACAUGCAGCUCAUCAGGUAAUCUGCGCUUUUCUCCGCCCACAAUACCUCACGUUACACAGAGCACGUUGCGAGCAUUUAAAUGCGCAUUUGAAUGGACCCCCUUCUCUCUUUCUAUCAUGGAUCAGCCAAAGUGAAAAAAGCAAAAAACAAAAUUCAGGGUUUUUUGUUGGCAUCAGCGGUGGAAAAUAUAUGUAUUGACCAGCGCGCUGCAGCAAAGCGCGAAGUACUUGUAGCUGUGAUACGGCUGAGUGCAGACUGCGAUGUUCCCACUGUGACUGUUUGAAAUGAAUGACCUGAUGCCGAUAAUUGUAAUUGUAAGCGAGGAGUUUAACAACUGCCGAGUGGGAAUGAUGUCACAUUUCUUCCAGUAACAGUAAUACUGUGUGGCUGCUUAAUCUGUAACACGAAGUGAACUUGUGUUCACUCAACUGAAAACGUGUGAUCCUUGUGGCAAGUAUGUAUGUAUGUAUAUAUAUAUUAAAAAAAAGUAGAGGAGGGGGAAUCAAUACAUGCAAUAAUGUUUUUACAUUUAACACAAUGAGAUCACUUCACAGAUGUGAUUGUGGACUCAUAUCAAAUUUAAUUCUAAAGAAACGAGGGGGUCGAAUGUCAUUCUGUUCAUAUCGUAUGUAUGGAUACUCUUUGACGUCAUUUGAAGUUCCCCAAAUCAGACAAAAAAGUGAUCUUUGCAUGCUAGCACAUUUUGAAUGGGCACCUUUAAAGUGCCAAGUCUUCACGUGAAAUGUGUCAUGGAUUAAGUUCUUCCUCCAAACCCAGUUAGCAGCAUGUUUCCUCAGGUGCCCAAAGCUGUGAAGUUGUCCACAGAAGAGGUGAUAAGCAGUAUCUGUGCUGCAGCCAAACCAGCCUAAGCCUCACUGGAGCUGAAACUGAAAUGUGUACACCUUUCUCUACCUUCCAUCCCAC
Gasterosteus aculeatus aculeatus (three-spined stickleback) is the source of this 6418-nucleotide long non-coding RNA. NCBI's taxonomy places the organism in Eukaryota, Metazoa, Chordata, Actinopteri, Perciformes, Gasterosteidae. The record is from Ensembl.